GACGAACGCUGGCGGCGUGCUUAACACAUGCAAGUCGAGCGAUGAAGCACCUUCGGGUGUGAAUUAGCGGCGAACGGGUGAGGAACACGUGAGAAAUCUGCCUUCAACACUGGGAUAACUCCGGGAAACCGGGGCUAAUACCGGAUAUGAAACCUGCGGGCAUCCGCGGGUUUGGAAAGUUUUUCGGUUGAAGAUGAUCUCGCGGCCUAUCAGCUUGUUGGUGAGGUAAUGGCUCACCAAGGCGACGACGGGUAGCCGGCCUGAGAGGGCGACCGGCCACACUGGGACUGAGACACGGCCCAGACUCCUACGGGAGGCAGCAGUGGGGAAUAUUGGGCAAUGGAGGAAACUCUGACCCAGCGGCGCCGCGUGCGGGAUGAAGGCCUUCGGGUUGUAAACCGCUUUCAGCAGGGAAGAAGCGAAAAUGACGGUACCUGCAGAAGAAGCACCGGCUAACUAUGUGCCAGCCGCCGCCGUAA
Molecule: ribosomal RNA, 479 nt
Filed under: uncultured bacterium
Lineage: Bacteria
Description: partial 16S ribosomal RNA
Rfam family: Bacterial small subunit ribosomal RNA
Source: RNAcentral